ACUCCUGCGGGAGGCAGCAGUGGGGAAUUUUGGACAAUGGGCGAAAGCCUGAUCCAGCAAUGCCGCGUGUGUGAAGAAGGCCUUCGGGUUGUAAAGCACUUUUGUCCGGAAAGAAAUCCUUGGCUCUAAUACAGUCGGGGGAUGACGGUACCGGAAGAAUAAGCACCGGCUAACUACGUGCCAGCAGCCGCGGUAAUACGUAGGGUGCGAGCGUUAAUCGGAAUUACUGGGCGUAAAGCGUGCGCAGGCGGUUUGCUAAGACCGAUGUGAAAUCCCCGGGCUCAACCUGGGAACUGCAUUGGUGACUGGCAGGCUAGAGUAUGGCAGAGGGGGGUAGAAUUCCACGUGUAGCAGUGAAAUGCGUAGAGAUGUGGAGGAAUACCGAUGGCGAAGGCAGCCCCCUGGGCCAAUACUGACGCUCAUGCACGAAAGCGUGGGGAGCAAACAGGAUUAGAAACCCGAGUAGUCCC
RNAcentral lists this ribosomal RNA (470 nucleotides) under uncultured organism. RNAcentral describes it as "partial 16S ribosomal RNA". It matches the Rfam family "Bacterial small subunit ribosomal RNA", at positions 335 to 797 of the family's 1533-position model. The record is from RNAcentral.